Molecule: non-coding RNA, 46 nt
Organism: Dufourea novaeangliae
Lineage: Eukaryota; Metazoa; Arthropoda; Insecta; Hymenoptera; Halictidae
Source: Rfam
CAAAAGGCCCUUUUCAGGGCCACCAAUUUCUCAUCGAUCGUUGGAA